AAGUCGUAACAAGGUUUCCGUAGGUGAACCUGCGGAAGGAUCAUUAUUGAAAUAAACCUGAUGGGUUGUUGCUGGUUCUCUAGGGAGCAUGUGCACACCUUGUCAUCUUUAUAUCUCUCCACCUGUGCACCUUUUGUAGACCUUUCAGGUCUAUGUUGCUUCAUCUACCCCAAUGUAUGUUAAUAGAAUGUUGUGCCUAUAUAAUAUAUACAACUUUCAGCAACGGAUCUCUUGGCUCUCGCAUCGAUGAAGAACGCAGCGAAAUGCGAUAAGUAAUGUGAAUUGCAGAAUUCAGUGAAUCAUCGAAUCUUUGAACGCACCUUGCGCUCCUUGGUAUUCCGAGGAGCAUGCCUGUUUGAGUGUCAUUAAUAUAUCAACCCUCUCUUUUUGAGUGGUUUGGAUGUGGGGGUUUGCUGGCCUCUCAGAAAGGUCUUGGCUCUCCUGAAAUACAUUAGCAGAACAACCCUGUUCAUUGGUGUGAUAACUAUCUACGCUAUUGAAUGUGAAGGGGCAGUUUGGCUUUCUAACAGUCCCUGGACAAGCUCAUCAUUAAUGUGACCUCAAAUCAGGUAGGACUACCCGCUGAACUUA
This 591-nucleotide ribosomal RNA is filed under the name uncultured fungus. Its description in RNAcentral is "eukaryotic LSU rRNA". The stretch from base 212 to 365 matches the Rfam family "5.8S ribosomal RNA". Lineage: Eukaryota; Fungi. The record is from RNAcentral.